CAAACAAGAGAGGACGGCGUGUGUGUGGACCUGCCCAAUGCCUCCCGUAAUGUCAGCAGAGGAAAGAUAAGUUUUACUGAAGUGGACCCACACCCUCAACUGUGCGUAAAGUUUACUGUCGGCUCUCAGUUCUGGACCAGGUGCCCCUUUGCUGAUG
This is a long non-coding RNA of Limanda limanda (common dab), 157 nucleotides long. RefSeq lists it as uncharacterized. Lineage: Eukaryota; Metazoa; Chordata; Actinopteri; Pleuronectiformes; Pleuronectidae. The record is from RefSeq and is a predicted model, not a curated record. The transcript is spliced from 3 exons.